This is a long non-coding RNA of Eubalaena glacialis (North Atlantic right whale), 500 nucleotides long. RefSeq lists it as uncharacterized. The transcript has 4 exons. Lineage: Eukaryota; Metazoa; Chordata; Mammalia; Artiodactyla; Balaenidae. The record is from RefSeq and is a predicted model, not a curated record.
GUUUUUGCAUCUUCCGCAGGUCAGUUUCACUCCACCUGAGGCCUUCUGUGUACUGCCCCGGGGGACACACAUGUGGCACAGGCCUCAGUGUGGCCUCUGGUGUGCAGCAUGCUGAGUGGCCUGGCCUCGGGGGAGGAAGAUGGCAGGGACUCCCCAGAUGACUGGCCACCUGACUCAGCUUCUCUGAGAAUCACUGGACAAGAUGCCCUAACACAACGCCUCAGCAGAAGCGUUUGAGCUCGUGACAGGUGUUCCGGCAGAAGACCUCCCGGCGGACGUACUGAUUGUUCAUCCCCUGAAAAAGAAAAUAUCAGUCGAACCCCCGUAGAACACGUUCUCUUGGACUCUGGAAGACAUGAAAACUGAGUCUGGGAAAGACUGAACAACAUGACCAUGAUCCCACAGCUGUAAGUGGCAGAGCUGAGGCUCAAACCUAUGGCAGUCUGACCUCAAAGCCUGCAGGUGCUCUUAAAGCUGGAUGUGGCCGAGCAUUGAAUGGG